Molecule: long non-coding RNA, 3221 nt
Organism: Anguilla anguilla (European eel)
Lineage: Eukaryota; Metazoa; Chordata; Actinopteri; Anguilliformes; Anguillidae
Exons: 2
Source: RefSeq, a predicted model, not a curated record
UUUUUUGCUCCAGUGAAGGCUUUUGUACAUAAACACACACACAUUUAGUGGUAAUUCAGCAGGAUCUCCCCCCUGUGAUCUCAUUAGAGAGAAACCUGCCUCCGCCCGGUGAGGUGUCUUUGAUCUGAAGCUUUUUUCCUAGAAGGGAGGAUUGGAUCUGAAACUUCGAGGUUAACUUCGUUUUUAUUUCCCAUGCAGAUAUCCAGGCUAUUUGCCCUCCGUACUGCGCUUUGACAACCUGCCCUGUUAGCCAAAUAACGCUAACUUGCUGAUUCUUUGUUCGCUGACAUACACCGCUGGCUAGCUAAACAGUAGCCACCCGACAACCUCAGACUACUACAUUACAAUGUUUUGUGUAGAGUAUUAUUUCAUUUCAUUGCAGGCAUUUAACAGACGCUCUCAUCCAGAGCGACUUACACAACUUUUACAUAGCAUUUUACGUUGUAUCCAUUUUAUACAGCUGGAUAUAUAUUGAAGCAAUUUCGGUUAAGUGCCUUGCUGAAGUGUACAACGGCAGUGCCCUACCCGAGAAUCGAAUCUGAGACCUUUCGGUUACAAGCCCAGUUCCUUACCCACUGUGCUACACUUUCAAGUUUUUUUAAACAGCAUAUUAACCCAUAAAUAAUUCCCCUUAAAUCACAUUUAACAGAUAUACACAGGUCCCGAGAAACAUAGGCUACUUGCAUCCAAAGACGCCGCAGAUCCAAUCAAAACAGAUAAUGAUCUGUUAUUAUUUAAUUACUUUACUUUACAUUACAUUUAUUUGGGAGACGCUUUAAUCUAAAGAGACGUAGGCUACAUUAUUAUUAUGAAUACCACUAGAUCGCACUAGUUCGAGUUGGAUUGCAAAUACGUCAUGUCCAGCGAGGUAAAUAUUGUCAUGAAAUAUGCAAAAGUGCAUUAGUAAACCGUUUAUUUAAACGUAAAACUUAAAAAAAAUGUAUUACUUUUGUUUUCGGUCCCAAAUGAGGAACCGGAUAAUUGCCUAGUAGGGCCUACUCCUCGCGUAUUUUCUUGUCAGUUUUCAGUUUUACUGAAUUAAGCGUGUUAAUUGCGAUUAUAGCUUCCCCUCACCUGUUCAUCUUUAGUUUAUAUUCUCUCCAUCCCACUCCACUACAGACUACUUCGUUCUUUUUUCAGUUUUAUUCUUUUACUCUCUCUUCGUUCUUCUCCGUCUUUAAAAUCGCGUGUGAGUUUGAACACUUUCAGUUCCACUUUUGGACUAAAUAUCUGGAAUUCUAAACUGGUGGUGGUUUAAACUGUGUGUUCAGCACAUUUAGCUGGUCAUAGCUGGUCUCUGGCUGGACAAAGCUGCUCAAACUAGUUGAUUAAGCUGGUCGUCAAACUGGUGGACUAGCUGACUGUAUAGGCUGGUCAGCUGGCGAACAGGGCUGAGAUAUGAGCUCUGGUCCACAGCAGCUAUAGUAAGUCUCCUUUCUCCCACAGAGGGGCCCAUGCUAUUGAUACACAAUGACAGCCAACAGGAGCAGAGUAAACUCCAUACAAACUGAAUUGAGUGACAACAGCUGCAGUUCAUUUGUAAUAAAAUGUUUCCUCAAUGGAUAAUCAACUCAGUUUCCAACUUCACUAAUCCAUCAGCAUUAAAAACAGUGAUUUGUCAAAAAGGUGUUUAAAAUACCGCCAGGUAUAAUGAUACAGGAUGAGCACAAAAAUCCGCAGACAUGGUGUCAGUGAGCUGUAACCAAAAGAGUACAUGUCUGGCCUGUAACUGUAUGAUUUUGCAUUAUGUAUCUGUGCCCAUUAUUUGAUUGAUGUAAAAAUAGAUAGACUUGCACUUGUAGAAUCAGAUCUCAGUGAUCAGAUUCAAUGAGAAGGAAUACAAGAAGUCAGGUAUGAUUCAGUGAUGGGGGGUGGUGGUGAUUACAAUGCAGUGUACAAGAUACACAUUUUACAGUGCACAGUGUAAAAGACGAAAACCCCCAUACGUAAUAUUGCGGUAUGCAUUAACAGGCCACUGAAUAGUCAGUGAUUUCUUGCAUUCUGAACCUAUACGUAGAAACUUGAUUUCAGUGACAAAUGUCAUCGUCAUUGUGACCACUUACUCCCAGAGAAAGAAUUAUACUACUUCUGUCUACAUAUGGUAAAAAGCCCACACUGAAUCUAAUUGUACACAACAUAAAAGGUACCUUCAGAAUAAGAAACAUCAGUGUCCAUGUUCUUGCUCACAAGUGAAAACAUGGAAUCAUUUAUGAUUUCUGCAACAAUGACAAUUUGAUGAUACUCGCGGUGCAACAGUAAUGCACAAAAAGCCAAACUUCAUGCUGACCAGAGAAAGCUCCUGUAAUCCAUUUAGUGACAAGCUAUUAGAAGGCUAUCUCUCAGAACUCUGCAAAAUCAUUAUUGCUGCUUAAUUUACUUGUUAUGCGGAUUCUGUUUGCCCCAGCCCAAACAUGAGAUUAUGGUUCAAACUAUUAAGCGCCCAUGAGACAAAUAGCUCAGAGUGGAGCUGAACUUCCAGUACCAUCUAGUGGCUGUUUGGAGAAACUACAAUAUUAUUUUUCCACCAAUCUUUUCUAGAACUCCACAGAUGUUCUCAUGUCUUAAUAAAUUGCUGUAGAUGUGGCUGUAAACAAAAAUGUUUUGAAAAUAAUUCACUGUUUGUUUGAUCAAAAAAACUGUUUUCAUGUCUAUAUGAGUGCACAUAGUGAAUCACUGGCCAUUCUCUCACUACUGUAAUGUUGAAGUGUAUUUACAGACUAUAUGUUCUUUAGAUUUUAUUGCUAUUUUUGUUUAUAGUGCUGCAUAUACUGAGUUAUUUUUAUGAAUGCUACUCUCCUUUGAAAAUACUAAUUUUUUUUGUUCCUUCAACUGUGUUGUGGUUACUGCACAGUACUUUUCACUCAGCAUCACUGAGUACUACAAAUAAAAUAUUUGGAAAUUUGCACACUCCCUCAUUUGUUAGGAGUGUAACAUUGCAAAGAUCAAAAUCUGAAAACCAUAAAAUAAGUAGAAUAACCAGGAGAAAAUAACUCCUGACGCACUGCUAUAAAAGGUUUUUGCAGUAGUGCUUUGAAUUUAUCUCACUGGUGUGUUAUGGGUAAUCUACAUUGUCUGUGUUUUCGAUGGCUUGUGUGUGCCAUUUGAAGGCAAAGGUUUAAUUUUGAUGGAAGAGUAUAUGUUUUUGAGAAGAUAAUUUGAGUUUGGCAUGGAUGUUUGAGGUUUGUGCUGAUUGAUGUGUCGUUUUGGGAUUGUGUUAAUAG